This 946-nucleotide ribosomal RNA is filed under the name uncultured archaeon. RNAcentral's name for it is "bacterial SSU rRNA". It matches the Rfam family "Archaeal small subunit ribosomal RNA", at positions 1 to 922 of the family's 1478-position model. The record is from RNAcentral.
UUUCCGGUUGAUCCUGCCGGACCCUACUGCUAUCGGGGUGGGACUAAGACAUGCGUGUCGAACGACCCCAAGCCAACAUGAGGUCGUGGCAUACGGCUCAGUAACACGUGGCUAACCUACCCUCGAGACGGGGACAACCCCGGGAAACUGGGGCUAAUCCCUGAUAGAUGAGAACCCCUGGAAUGGGUUUUCGUCCAAAAGGCACCGCGGUUAUGCUCCGUGGUGCUGCUCAAGGAUGGGGCCGCGCCCGAUCAGGCUGUUGGUGAGGCAAUGGCUCACCAAACCUAUAACCGGUACGGGCCGUGGGAGCGGGAGCCCGGAGAUGGGAACUGAGACAAGGUCCCAGGCCCUACGGGGCGCAGCAGUUACGAAAACUUGUCAAUGCACGAAAGUGUGAACGGGCUACCCCGAGUGCCGUCCGCUGAGGAUGGCUUUUCUCUGCUGUAAGAAGGCGGAGGAAUAAGGCGAGGGCAAGUCUGGUGUCAGCCGCCGCGGUAAUACCAGCUCGCCGAGUGGUAGGGAUGAUUAUUGGGCCUGAAGCGUCCGUAGCCGGCCUUUCAAGUCUCUUGUCAAAUCCAACGAUUCAAUCGCUGGACUGCAGGAGAUACUGUCAGGCUAGGGGGCGGGAGAAGCCGACGGUAUUUUCGGGGUAGGGGUAAAAUCCUAUAAUCCCGGGAAGACCACCAGUGGCGUAGGCGGUCGGCUAGCACGCGCUCGACGGUGAGGGACGAAAGCUGGGGGAGCGAACCGGAUUAGAUACCCGGGUAGUCUCAGCUGUAAACGAUGCUGGCUAGGUGUUGAAGCGGCUACGAGCCGCUUCAGUGCCGCAGGGAAGCCAUUAAGCCAGCCGCCUGGGGAGUACGGCCGCAAGGCUGAAACUUAAAGGAAUUGGCGGGGGAGCACCACAAGGGGUGAAGCUUGCGGUUUAAUUGGAUUCAACGCCGGG